Molecule: ribosomal RNA, 888 nt
Filed under: uncultured bacterium
Lineage: Bacteria
Description: bacterial SSU rRNA
Rfam family: Bacterial small subunit ribosomal RNA
Source: RNAcentral
AACGNUGGCGGCAUGCCUUACACAUGCAAGUCGAACGGCAGCGCGGGGCAACCUGGCGGCGAGUGGCGAACGGGUGAGUAAUAUAUCGGAACGUACCCUGGAGUGGGGGAUAACGUAGCGAAAGUUACGNUAAUACCGCAUACGAUCUAAGGAUGAAAGUGGGGGAUUCGCAAGAACCUCAUGCUCCUGGAGCGGCCGAUAUCUGAUUAGCUAGUUGGUAGGGUAAAAGCCUACCAAGGCAUCGAUCAGUAGCUGGUCUGAGAGGACGACCAGCCACACUGGAACUGAGACACGGUCCAGACUCCUACGGGAGGCAGCAGUGGGGAAUUUUGGACAAUGGGGGCAACCCUGAUCCAGCAAUGCCGCGUGAGUGAAGAAGGCCUUCGGGUUGUAAAGCUCUUUUGUCAGGGAAGAAACGGUCUGUUCUAAUACAGCGGGCUAAUGACGGUACCUGAAGAAUAAGCACCGGCUAACUACGUGCCAGCAGCCGCGGUAAUACGUAGGGUGCAAGCGUUAAUCGGAAUUACUGGGCGUAAAGCGUGCGCAGGCGGUUUUGUAAGUUUGUCGUGAAAUCCCCGGGCUCAACCUGGGAAUGGCGAUGAAGACUGCAAGGCUAGAGUUUGGCAGAGGGGGGUAGAAUUCCACGUGUAGCAGUGAAAUGCGUAGAUAUGUGGAGGAACACCGAUGGCGAAGGCAGCCCCCUGGGUCAAAACUGACGCUCAUGCACGAAAGCGUGGGGAGCAAACAGGAUUAGAUACCCUGGUAGUCCACGCCCUAAACGAUGUCUACUAGUUGUCGGGUCUUAAUUGACUUGGUAACGCAGCUAACGCGUGAAGUAGACCGCCUGGGGAGUACGGUCGCAAGAUUAAAACUCAAAUGAAUUGACGG